Molecule: non-coding RNA, 1394 nt
Organism: Microcebus murinus (gray mouse lemur)
Lineage: Eukaryota; Metazoa; Chordata; Mammalia; Primates; Cheirogaleidae
Source: RefSeq, a predicted model, not a curated record
CACUUCAAGUCAUAACACAAUUCAUUAAUAAAUUUUGAUUAUUAUAAUUUUAAGAUGUUUCCUCAAUCAAUUGCAUCCUCCCACUUCUCCUGCUGCCAUUGUAAGCCACGAUGCCAUGAGCUCUUGCCCUAACUACUGCAGCACGCAAUUGGCUGGUCUGCUCACUCCAACUCCUGCCCCUCCAAUCUGUGCUCCACCAAUCUUCAGAGAGAUGUUCCAAACAUGAAUCAGAUCAAGUCACUGCUUGUACCCCACCAUUACCACCAAGAAGUCUUUGGUAGCUUUUGAUUGAAAUCAGAAUAGCCAAACCCUUAAGGCUUUUAUGUGUUUGCCUUUUGAAUAUUUCUCCCCCCGGUCAUCUCAUCCCACUACUACCAGCUACAAUUGAUUUUCUUAUUCAGAUACAUUUAGGCUCUUUUCUUCUACUCUGUGUGAUAAGUUUUCUUUUUGUCCUUUAAGAUUCAGCUUAAAUGUCACUUUUAUAAGGAAGGCUUUUGUAAGAGCCUCAUAAAGGACAAAACUCCCACCUUAUUAUUCUCUCAUUUUCAUGUUUGCUUCAUUCAUAAUACUUAUUACUGCUUGCUGCCUGCUUUCUGGCUUUUUUGGCUGCCUUCCUCCACUCCAGGAAGGUUUUCUGAUGUAUCCCUAGCACCUACCACAUUGCAUGGCAAAUGGCAGGCACUCAAUACAUACUUCCUGAAAAAAUGAAUAAAUGGCUGGAUGUUCUGCUCCACGAGAGCAGAGACCAUUUCUGCCUUGUCCAUCUAUGUCCCCAUUGCCUGGCAUAAGACAAAAACUCAGUGAAUAUGUGUCGAAUCAAUUAACCCAUAUCUUACAGUGAGGAAAUUGAAGCUUAGAGAGUUGAAGCAACUUCCUCCUGGUCAGCCAGCAAAGAGGCAGAGCCAGGAUUUAUACCCUAAUGUUUGACUACUCCAAUUCUUGAAAUGUUAACUCUGGAAGGGGCCUUAGAGAUUGUCUAAUCUAAUAGCCAGAUUUUGCAGAUGACAAAAAUGAAGCUCAGGAUGGUGAAAUGACGCACUCCACUCAUCUAUUUGGGUCUACGUUGUCAGGCCAGUGCUGUGACUUGCUAGGGAGGGAAGUGGAAAUGGAAGCUCCAGAUUCAAAAGAAGUGUGUCUUUUAUUUUUUAAAGUGGGUGUGGAGUUUUAAAACACUGAUCAAACAUAAAAUGUGUCACUCAUCUUAUACUCCUUUUUAGACUCAUUUGGUAAGAAAGAGAGACAACAAUUUGCUGGAAGCACACACGUAUGUGCUAACUGAACUAGUGUCUUGGGACUUCUUCUGCCAUGGCAAAUAAUAACAUAAUCAGUUGUGGAUCCAGUAAAAAGAAAAAGAAAAGUACAAAACUGAGAGUGGUUAGAAACUUUUUGAGAAA